UACGUAGGAUGCGAGCGUUGUCCGGAAUUAUUGGGCGUAAAGAGAACGUAGGUGGUUUCUUAAGUCAGGGGUGAAAUCCUGGAGCUCAACUCCAGAACUGCCUUUGAUACUGGCGAUCUUGAGUCCGGGAGAGGUGAGUGGAACUGCGAGUGUAGAGGUGAAAUUCGUAGAUAUUCGCAAGAACACCAGUGGCGAAGGCGGCUCACUGGCCCGGUACUGACGCUGAGGUGCGAAAGCGUGGGGAGCAAACAGG
RNAcentral lists this ribosomal RNA (253 nucleotides) under uncultured bacterium. RNAcentral's name for it is "partial 16S ribosomal RNA". It matches the Rfam family "Bacterial small subunit ribosomal RNA", at positions 524 to 776 of the family's 1533-position model. The record is from RNAcentral.